Long non-coding RNA from Tympanuchus pallidicinctus (lesser prairie-chicken), 541 nucleotides. RefSeq lists it as uncharacterized. The record is from RefSeq and is a predicted model, not a curated record. Lineage: Eukaryota; Metazoa; Chordata; Aves; Galliformes; Phasianidae. The transcript has 3 exons.
CAGUGGCGCCCGGCGGGGCCCGGCGGGACUCACGGCCCGGCGCGGGGGACCGCGGCCAUCGGCGGAGCCCGGCCCCGGAGCGGGGCGCGGGGAGCUGCUGAGGAGCGGUGCUGGAGUCGCGGAGCCCGAACGCGGAAGGCUUUUUCCCGGCCGCCUCCUUUUUCAUUUUGAAUCAAGUAUAGUGAUGGAGGAAGGUGUUGUGUCUGUGUUUGUUUUCAAGUGGAAGAAGGUUGGCAGCAGCAUUUGGAACACACGGCAUAAGUCUGGGAACCGGGCCUUACAGCCAUCAUAAAGAAGUGAGAUUCAGCUUCCAAGAAGAGAAGAAAGUAAAGAGAUAUAAUUGGAUUGAUGCUAUUAUUCAAGUCAGCAAAAAGCCCUUGUCACAGAAUCACAGAAUCACCAAGGUUGGAAAAGACCUACAAGAUCCAGUCCAACCAUCCACCUAUCAUCAAUAGUUCUCACUAAAUCCUGUUCCUCAACAUUUUGUCUUUCAAAAAGUUUUGUCAAGGAUUUGUUUUUAAAUAAAGGCAGGCAAAAUAAA